UACGGGGGGAGCAAGCGUUGUUCGGAUUUACUGGGCGUAAAGGGCGCGUAGGCGGUCGUGACAAGUCACUUGUGAAAUCUCCGGGCUUAACUCGGAACGGUCAAGUGAUACUGUCGUGCUAGAGUACAGAAGGGGCAACUGGAAUUCUCGGUGUAGCGGUGAAAUGCGUAGAUAUCGAGAGGAACACCGGUGGCGAAGGCGGGUCUCUGGGCCGAUACUGACGCUGAGGUGCGAAAGCGUGGGGAGCAAACAGG
This 254-nucleotide ribosomal RNA is filed under the name uncultured bacterium. RNAcentral describes it as "partial 16S ribosomal RNA". It matches the Rfam family "Bacterial small subunit ribosomal RNA", at positions 524 to 776 of the family's 1533-position model. The record is from RNAcentral.